Triticum dicoccoides is the source of this 433-nucleotide long non-coding RNA. RefSeq lists it as uncharacterized. The transcript is spliced from 2 exons. The record is from RefSeq and is a predicted model, not a curated record. NCBI's taxonomy places the organism in Eukaryota, Viridiplantae, Streptophyta, Magnoliopsida, Poales, Poaceae.
CAGAUGGAGAUGGCUGACGAAGAGCUCGAUGUCCAUGACUCGUCAGGUUCCGCUGGCUCCACUAACAACCGUCUACGGGCGCUUGCACAGGAUACCAAGCGAGUGUUUAGGAUCCCACACCGGGCAUUUCUUGACAUGCUCCUAGCACACCUUACACUAAUCACCGGCUCAGUAUGAUCGUGUUGUACAUGAUGACGGCAAGAUCUGUGUGACCAUCUUCUUCAACACCUCUACAUUGGAUCUUGGAGGACCAAUCAGUAUGAACGCGUCGUGUCGUCAUUCCUCCUGGUCUACAUUAUGCCCAAGACAUGCAAAGUUGUGGAUUGUAUGUAAGCUACCAUGUGCUUUUGUACGUCCUAUGCCUGUGAUAUUUGCUACUAAACCUAUUGUGCUACGUGCUUUCUAUGUUUAUACAUUGUUAGGUGGCUCCUUA